This is a long non-coding RNA of Acinonyx jubatus (cheetah), 2141 nucleotides long. RefSeq lists it as uncharacterized. NCBI's taxonomy places the organism in Eukaryota, Metazoa, Chordata, Mammalia, Carnivora, Felidae. The transcript has 2 exons. The record is from RefSeq and is a predicted model, not a curated record.
AGUGUACUUCUUCCCUAAUGAAAUACUAAGCAUCCUUGUAUCUAAAUUUAGGCAGGGUAAGUUGGAAAGCACUCUAUUUUCUUCUAUUUGCUUUCUUCUUUCUUCAGCUAAUACUGUAACGUUCUAGAUUUUGUGCAAUCACAACAUUGUCUAGCAACCCCUAUAUGAACUAUAGAACUUUUUUCCUUGAUUAUAUACAUAAUGUAUUAACUUUCCACUUUGAAACAAUUUUAGACUGACAUAAAAGUGUUUUCUAUAGAAAAUUGUAGAGUUCUCAUAUGCUCUUCCCCCAGGUUUCCCUAAUGUUAACAUCUUAUGUAGCCAUAAUAUAGUUAUUAUAACCAGAAAAUUAAUAUUCAUGUAAUACUUUUAAUUAAUCUGUAGACCUUAUUCAAAUUUCAUCAGUUUUCCCACUAAUGUCCUUUGUCUGAUCUAGGAUCCUGUGCAGGAUCCAACAUUGCAUUAGAUAGUUCCUCAGUCUUUCGUAAUCAUGACACUUCUUUUUUUUAAAAAAUUUUUUUAAAGUUUAUUCAUUUUUUUGAGAGAGCAUGAGUGGGGGAGGAACAGAGAGAAAGAGGCACAGAAUCUGAAGCAGGCUCCAGGCUCUAAGCUCUCAGCACAGAGCCUGACUCAGGGCUUGAACCAUGAACCACAAGAUCAUGACCUGAGCCAAAUUCAGCCACUUAACUGACUGAACCAUUCAGGCGCCCCCCAACCAUGACGCUUCUGAAGAGUAUUGGUUAGUUAUUUUAGACAGGGUCUCUCUAGUGUCUUAUGUUCUCCCAUUAUUAAAUUGAGGUUAUACAUUUGGGGGGAAGAAAUAUCACAGAAGUGAUGUGCCCUUCUCAAUUCAUUCUAUCAGGAAGAUAUGUGAUGUUGAUAUGUUUUGUUACUGGUGAUAUAAAUUUUUAUGUCUGUAUUUUAAAGCACCACACCCUUCAUUUCUCUCUUCCCAUCUGUCCAUAACAUUUGUCUUUGGCAGAAUGAAAGAACAAGAAUUAAUCAAAAAUUUGUUUGAAUUUUACUGAUCUCUUUAUAACUCCCACCACAUCAGGCCUAUAGCACUUAAAAGAUCCCAGAGGUGAACUUCACCCUCAUGAUUUUAAGCUUUACAUUUGGGAAAACAGCUCAUGAGGAUUCUAAAACAAAAAAGGAAAUGUUUGUAAAAUACCUUUUGACUUUUUAUUAUGGAAAUUUUCAAACAUACACAAAAGUAAAAUCGAAUAUUGUCGUGUACCCAUCAUCCAAUUUGAACAACUAUCAACAUUCUGCCAUUCUUGUUUCAUCUGUUAUCUAUCCCCUCAUCCUCACCAUUUUUUCUGGAAUAUUUUAAAUCAAAUCCCAGAUAACAUUAAUAAUUUUGUCCCUAAAUAGUUCAGUAUGUAUCUUUAAUAAAUGGCACUUUAAAAAAUCAUAAUGCUAUUAUAGCCCACAAAAUCAAUGAAAUCAGAUAAUCUUAUUUAAUGUCUGAUAAUCCAAUUUCUGAUAGAUUUUCUCAAAGAUAGCAUUUUACCUUUCAUUAGAGCCCAAAAUCCAUAUUGCAUUUGUUUUUGCCUUUUAAGGUACUUUUAAUCUAUAAUAGUUUUCCCUUCCCCAUUUCUUUGUUGUAGAAACUGAGUCAUUUUUCUUAUAGAAUUCCCACAUUUUAGAUUUGGCUGAUGGAAUCCUCAUGAUGUCAUUUAACAUGUUCUUCUGUCCUUAUUUCCUGUAAACUGGUUGGUGGAUCUAGUGACUUGAUUAAAUUCAGGUUCUUUUUUGAGGCAAGAAUACUUCAUAGGUGAUACUGAUACAUUUAUGCAGAUGCUCAACCUUUCAUUUAAUAGUUUUAGUAAUCAUCAGUGAUUGCCCCAAUUUAUUAUUUCUUUAGAUAUUACAAAUAGUACUUCCUAAUUCUACCAUUCUUCUUGCAUUUAUUAAAUUUUUUAUAAAGAAGAAAUUUUGGGGGGUGCCUGAGUGGCUCGGUUUGUUAAGUGUCUGACUUCGGCUCAGGUCAUGAUCUUGAGGUUCAUGAGUUUGAGCCCCAUGUCGGGCUCUCUGCUGUCAGCACAGAGCCUCCUUCACAUCCUCUGUUUCCCUCUCUCUCUGCCCCUCCCUACCCUCUUUCUCGCUCUCAAAAUAAAUAAAAACAUUGAAAAAAAAAA